UUUGUGCAAGGGGUAGGAGCGGCAUCCUUUUAUCUCGUUUUUAAGAACGAGAUAAAAGAUACAGCGGAUAACCCGACCCGCA
Molecule: small RNA, 82 nt
Filed under: Flavobacterium flevense
Lineage: Bacteria; Pseudomonadati; Bacteroidota; Flavobacteriia; Flavobacteriales; Flavobacteriaceae
Description: Flavo-1 RNA
Rfam family: Flavo-1 RNA
Source: RNAcentral